GACGAACGCUGGCGGCGUGCUUAACACAUGCAAGUCGAACGGAAAGGCCCUGCUUUUGUGGGGUGCUCGAGUGGCGAACGGGUGAGUAACACGUGAGUAACCUGCCCUUGACUUUGGGAUAACUUCAGGAAACUGGGGCUAAUACCGGAUAGGAGCUCCUGCUGCAUGGUGGGGGUUGGAAAGUUUCGGCGGUUGGGGAUGGACUCGCGGCUUAUCAGCUUGUUGGUGGGGUAGUGGCUUACCAAGGCUUUGACGGGUAGCCGGCCUGAGAGGGUGACCGGCCACAUUGGGACUGAGAUACGGCCCAGACUCCUACGGGAGGCAGCAGUGGGGAAUAUUGCACAAUGGGCGGAAGCCUGAUGCAGCAACGCCGCGUGCGGGAUGACGGCCUUCGGGUUGUAAACCGCUUUCGCCUGUGACGAAGCGUGAGUGACGGUAAUGGGUAAAGAAGCACCGGCUAACUACGUGCCAGCAGCCGCGGUGAUACGUAGGGUGCGAGCGUUGUCCGGAUUUAUUGGGCGUAAAGGGCUCGUAGGUGGUUGAUCGCGUCGGAAGUGUAAUCUUGGGGCUUAACCCUGAGCGUGCUUUCGAUACGGGUUGACUUGAGGAAGGUAGGGGAGAAUGGAAUUCCUGGUGGAGCGGUGGAAUGCGCAGAUAUCAGGAGGAACACCAGUGGCGAAGGCGGUUCUCUGGGCCUUUCCUGACGCUGAGGAGCGAAAGCGUGGGGAGCGAACAGGCUUAGAUACCCUGGUAGUCCACGCUGUAAACGGUGGGUACUAGGUGUGGGGUCCAUUCCACGGGUUCCGUGCCGUAGCUAACGCUUUAAGUACCCCGCCUGGGGAGUACGGCCGCAAGGCUAAAACUCAAAGGAAUUGACGGGGCCCCGCACAAGCGGCGGAGCAUGCGGAUUAAUUCGAUGCAACGCGUAGAACCUUACCUGGGUUUGACAUGGAUCGGGAGUGCUCAGAGAUGGGUGUGCCUCUUUUGGGGUCGGUUCACAGGUGGUGCAUGGCUGUCGUCAGCUCGUGUCGUGAGAUGUUGGGUUAAGUCCCGCAACGAGCGCAACCCUUGUUCACUGUUGCCAGCACGUUAUGGUGGGGACUCAGUGGAGACCGCCGGGGUCAACUCGGAGGAAGGUGGGGAUGACGUCAAGUCAUCAUGCCCCUUAUGUCCAGGGCUUCACGCAUGCUACAAUGGCUGGUACAGAGAGUGGCGAGCCUGUGAGGGUGAGCGAAUCUCGGAAAGCCGGGCUCAGUUCGGAUUGGGGUCUGCAGCUCGACCUCAUGAAGUCGGAGUCGCUAGUAAUCGCAGAUCAGCAACGCUGCGGUGAAUACGUUCCCGGG
This 1343-nucleotide ribosomal RNA is filed under the name uncultured bacterium. Its description in RNAcentral is "16S ribosomal RNA". It matches the Rfam family "Bacterial small subunit ribosomal RNA", at positions 28 to 1378 of the family's 1533-position model. The record is from RNAcentral.